Molecule: long non-coding RNA, 1848 nt
Organism: Xiphophorus couchianus (Monterrey platyfish)
Lineage: Eukaryota; Metazoa; Chordata; Actinopteri; Cyprinodontiformes; Poeciliidae
Exons: 3
Source: RefSeq, a predicted model, not a curated record
UAUUAACAUACUAAAAACUGGUCUUUGCGGUAAAUACCUGAUAUUCAGAUUAUUUUGCUGAGAAUUUUAUAGGUUAGGAAACAAUACGUUUUUACUGCGCAAUUUAAAUAAACAAAGUGGUCAGGCAUCGCACGGACAGCUAUGUGGGGGGUCUUUUAUCGUCACCAUGGAAACCGUUCUACAAUGUUCAGUCUUUGGGCACAACCUGCUGAACAGAGCAAAAACACAACAUAUAAAGCUAAGAAACUUUUUAAAAUAUGUAUAAUGCACUUAAAUUGUAAGAAUGUUAAUCUUCCUCUUUUACCAAAGUUGUAAAAACAAAAGUGAUUUGCUUAUUCCGAAACAACAACCUGUUGUUUCCUUCUUUUCAUUCAUUUAAUUUUACCAACACAAAACCAUACUUUACAAAAAGGCUCUGUCCAGGAGAUUGGAACAGAUUUUUCCUUAAGAAGAAAGAUAAAAAAAGAAGUUGGUUGUUAAUGAGCUUACACAUUCAGGAACUGAAACCAGAGGUUUACCGCAACAUCUUCAGUUGUGUAGUCAGUGCUUUCAGAAUGUACAAGCCUUUUCUUCCUGUUGUCACAAAAGGAAUAUGAAAACAUUUUGGGCCAGUAACUUCGUUAAUUUCAUGUCUUCAUCUUGUUCGUUCCUCAAGAUUAAAAUACAUUAUUGUGCUUGUUUUAAAAAUGUUAAAACACAUUGAGUCAGAUUGUAUUUUGAUGGUGUUUCUUAUUAUAAAAGAGAUAUAGCUAUAUAUAUGUAGAAAAGUUUGUCAUUAAACAUCUUUAUUCAAAACUAGAAAUAAUUUGACUGGUCCAGCAUCAAGCCGGUCUGUUGCUGAUGAAACUGAAGCUCAAAAGGUUGAUUAAGGAAAAUUACAAGGGGAGCAAUUGUAUUUUUUAAGGUGUCACCAAAAAAAAUGUCCUUGACUUCCUUAAUUUUGGGAGGUUGGUGAUUGAGCAACACUUAAAUGACAGAAUGAUCUUAUUUACUGAUGAAGUCUGAAAAUCAGUCUGUUGCCAACUUAGCAAUUUUGUUGCGAGUUUAGUGACUUUUCAAACAAAAACAAUUGGUGAUGGACAAAAUCGGAUCCAGCAAAUCAGGCUGUUUAAAGAUCGGUGGUCGGCCAGAAAACUGUAGUAGAUGCACAGAGCCUGACUGGUCUGGAUAUUUUUGAAUAAAGUAAAUUAUCAUUUCAAAACAGAUUUUUUUUUUUAUUCACUCAGAUUAUUUUUGUCUGAUACAUAACUUGAAAUUUGAAACAUUUAACUGUGAAAAAAGCAAAAACAGAAUAUGUUUGUAUAGUGGUAAAUAUAGUUACAUUUCUUUGUCAUUGAGACAAACAAAUACAGAUGGAAACAACCAAUGUCUCUAAAUCUUGACAAUAACAUUAAUGCUUUUUUGGGGGUUUUUUUUUAAUAUAAAGACUCUUCAGGACUGAGUACGAAGUCCUGCUGGCACUCCACAAAAGAAGCAAACCAAGUCAUUUUUCAGCUGCUUUUCAGACAGCAGAGUCACAUGAAGAACCAGAUGAACAUGUGACCAUCGGUCAGAUCCAAGCUGACAACAGCAGUGAUGACUCCAACAUGAAGCAGAAGAUUCAGAUAAUCUUAGUUUUUAUAAUCUAAAGCAGGGGUGUCUUUUUCCUCCAACUGAGGUUUAAUGGUCCUUACUGUAGUUCUGUGGAGUCUUAAAGCUUUAGAAAUAUAAAUUUGUCAGCCAUUCCAGACUGAUAGAUGUCAGUGUUGUUGUUUGUUUUACUUUUCCUCAUUUGUAUUUAUUUAGGAUGUCUUUGAUAUUAUAAUGCAAGGAUUCGGAAUAUUAAAGUGUGACAAAAUGUCAAAAACA